Molecule: long non-coding RNA, 440 nt
Filed under: Salmo salar (Atlantic salmon)
Lineage: Eukaryota; Metazoa; Chordata; Actinopteri; Salmoniformes; Salmonidae
Description: lncRNA (ENSSSAG00000113787.1)
Source: RNAcentral
GUGAGUGGGACCUCAGCCCAGCGUGUGUCUGUGUGUUCCUGCUCACAAGGAGAGCGCUGGGAGAGAGCACAGCGUACUCUGCCUGGGAGGACUCCUGUGGACUAGGAGUGGUGUAGAAGGAGUGGUUGCUCUUCUCUUGUACUGUAGCCAUGCAGUUUUUUAUCUGGAUACUGGGCUGCUUAAUGCUGGAUUCUUUCCUGCUUGGACUAUGCGUGGAGGGUCGAUGGAGAGCAUCUCACAUGUUUCCCGUUUGUAUCAAGAAUGGUCCACCCAAAGGACAUCCAGCCAACUUGACACAACUGUGGAAAGCGUUGGAGUCAACAUGGGCCAGCGUCCCUGUGGAAUGCUUUCAACACCUUGUGGAGUCCAUGCCCCAACAAAUUCAGGCUGUUCUGAGGGGAAAAGGCGGGGGUGCAACUAAUAUUAGGAAGGUGUUCCUA